GACGAACGCUGGCGGCGUGCCUAAUACAUGCAAGUCGAGCGCAGGAAAUCGACGGAACCCUUCGGGGGGAGGUCGGCGGAAUGAGCGGCGGACGGGUGAGUAACACGUAAAGAACCUGCCCUCAGGUCUGGGAUAACCACGAGAAAUCGGGGCUAAUACCGGAUGGGUCAUCGGACCGCAUGGUCCGAGGAUGAAAGGCGCUUCGGCGUCGCCUGGGGAUGGCUUUGCGGUGCAUUAGCUAGUUGGUGGGGUAAUGGCCCACCAAGGCGACGAGGCAUGGCCGACCUGAGAGGGUGAUCGGCCACCCUGGGACGGAGACACGGCCCAGACUCCUACGGGAGGCAGCAGUAGGGAAUCUUCCACAAUGGACGAAAGUCUGAUGGAGCAACGCCGCGUGAACGAUGAAGGCCUUCGGGUCAUAAAGUUCUGUUGUAAGGGAAGAACAAGUGCCGCAGGCAAUGGCGGCACCUUGACGGUACCUUGCGAGAAAGCCACGGCUAACUACGUGCCAGCCGCCGCGGUAA
RNAcentral lists this ribosomal RNA (524 nucleotides) under uncultured bacterium. RNAcentral describes it as "partial 16S ribosomal RNA". It matches the Rfam family "Bacterial small subunit ribosomal RNA", at positions 28 to 523 of the family's 1533-position model. The record is from RNAcentral.